AUACAGAGGGUGCGAGCGUUAAUCGGAAUUACUGGGCGUAAAGCGCGCGUAGGCGGCUACUUAAGUCAGAUGUGAAAUCCCCGGGCUCAACCUGGGAACUGCAUCUGAUACUGGGUAGCUAGAGUUUUGGAGAGGGAAGUAGAAUUUCAGGUGUAGCGGUGAAAUGCAUAGAGAUCCGAAGGAAUACCAGUGGCGAAGGCGACUUCCUGGCCAAAAACUGACGCUGAGGUGCGAAAGCGUGGGUAGCAAACGGGAUUAGAUACCCUAGUAGUCC
RNAcentral lists this ribosomal RNA (274 nucleotides) under uncultured bacterium. Its description in RNAcentral is "partial 16S ribosomal RNA". It matches the Rfam family "Bacterial small subunit ribosomal RNA", at positions 523 to 796 of the family's 1533-position model. The record is from RNAcentral.